This 468-nucleotide ribosomal RNA is filed under the name uncultured bacterium. RNAcentral describes it as "partial 16S ribosomal RNA". It matches the Rfam family "Bacterial small subunit ribosomal RNA", at positions 28 to 507 of the family's 1533-position model. The record is from RNAcentral.
GACGAACGCUGGCGGCGUGCUUAACACAUGCAAGUCGAACGGAAAGGCCCUGCUUUUGUGGGGUGCUCGAGUGGCGAACGGGUGAGUAACACGUGAGUAACCUGCCCUUGACUGUGGGAUAACUUCAGGAAACUGGGGCUAAUACCGGAUAGGAGCUCCUGCUGCAUGGUGGGGGUUGGAAAGUUUCGGCGGUUGGGGAUGGACUCGCGGCUUAUCAGCUUGUUGGGGGGGUAGUGGCUUACCAAGGCUUUGACGGGUAGCCGGCCUGAGAGGGUGACCGGCCACAAUGCUACUGAGAGAGAGCCCAGACUCCUACGGGAGGCAGCAGUGGGGAAUAUUGCAGAAUGGGCGGACGCCUGAUGCAGCAACGCCGCGUGCGGGAUGACGGCCUUCGGGUUGUAAACCGCUUUCGCCUGUGACGAAGCGUGAGUGACGGUAAUGGGUAAAGAAGCACCGGCUAACUACGUG